This is a long non-coding RNA of Cercocebus atys (sooty mangabey), 2221 nucleotides long. RefSeq lists it as uncharacterized. The transcript has 3 exons. The record is from RefSeq and is a predicted model, not a curated record. NCBI's taxonomy places the organism in Eukaryota, Metazoa, Chordata, Mammalia, Primates, Cercopithecidae.
GUUGUGUGCCAUAGCUUAUUAGCAACAGAAGAGAAAUUAUAGCACACUAUUGCUGAUACCACAAGGGAACACAUAUUUGUGGUGUCUGUCUUUCAUGUGUUUUUAUUUUAGGAAAUGAAUGCUGAUGUUAGGCAACUUAACCCCUUCCUUGUGACUUUUGCUCCUGUUUGCAAGCUGGGUAUCUCUUACACAGGCAUUAACAAGUAGGCUGACUGUCGGGACAAGCCCAGAGAUAGCAUUGUUUGUAUUUGCUGAUAAAUGACUCUGGGACUGUGAAGACUCAGAACCAAGGAGUGACUCAGAAAGUCAGGGGCCCAUGUCAUUCUGCUCUGGGCUCAGACGCGCAGUGCAGCAGCACCAGGACUUGACAGCCCUACGGCUCGAUCAGCUUUCUGUUUUCAUUGCUUUAUGAUGCCGUGAGUGGAACUAUUGGCAAAUCAGAGUUCACACCCCAGCUUUUCAGUCUUUCCCCUAAUUCUUGCUCUAUCAGAGGUCGAGGACAACAGUAUAAUGAUUCAUAGGCCCUACUUCCUGGCAAGUAAUCAUUUUCCCACGAUUGGUCCUCUGGGAAGCCCCUGGAUCAAGCUCCAAUUCUGGCAGUUUCAAGAACAAUAGAAAAAGUUCCAGCAUGGCUUAUUUUAUUCAUUCCACAAAUAUGUAUUCAGAGUGUACCAAAUAUUGAAUGCUACUAUGUUGAUUGGGGACACAGGAUGUAUAAUCAUUACAACAUAUUGAAGAUGGAGGGAAAACACAUAGAGGAAACUAUUUUGGUGCUUUUGUGAUUCUGGCCCUUGUGAAUUGAUGAAUAUGAAGGCACUAAGAAAGCAGAAAUAGAACUGAGAAGAAUGAAAUAACUGUCUCUACCUUUCUCGAAUUGUCUAAUUUGGAAGGACUGAAAGACAGCUAAUAAGCAACUCUCUGCAAGAAGACAUAUGGCUUAGAUUCCGCUGAGCUAUUGAUGAUUGAUUCCAUGCAUAUAUAUUAACUGCUGGUAUAUGUAUAUACAAUACAUGUGCUUCUGCAAAGAAUCAUAGACUUGAUGCAUUUUUAAAUAUUUCUUAAGGACUUACUACUGAGUGUCAGUAUGAGAGGAUCGUUUACUUCCUUUUCCCAUUAAUUUUGACAGCCUGGAUUGAGCAACUUUCUUCUUACCUAGUAUUGUUUUAGGAGGUGCAUUAGCUUUUUCUUUGUCUGUAUGUUUGUGUGUGCGUAGCUUUAUUAACCAUAUUGUUUGGGCUUUUGAUAAAGCAGAGAUUCUGAUAUGGUAUACAUUUUGAACUAAGCAUUCAUUGAAUAAAUGAAUGGGGAUGUAUGUUUAAGACACUGUGCUAACCAAGGGUGAGAAGGGGUGUGUAAUGGUAGAUGAGCAAGGUGAGAUAAGAUAUUAAAAGACACCUGCUGAGAAUGUUAUUUUAUAUGGCAGAAAGAUGUUUGCAGAUGCAGUUAAGUUAAGGACCUUGAGAUGGGGUACGUUAUCUCGGCAGGCCCAAUGUAUACAUCAGGGUCCUUAUGAAAGGGAGGCAGGAGAACAGAAUGAGUAGUGAGAAGAGUGAAUGGACAAUAUUGAGGACAUGCUUAGGGACCCAAAGAAGCUUGCUAUGGUAGGGCUUGGUGGACUCUGCACUGGUGAGAAAGGCUAGGCCAUGCGGCGGAAGCAAACAAAUCUGUGUUGUAAAGUGACAGAGUUUCUCUCUUGCUCAUGCCAAGUCUGCUAAAUGGCUGAGUGAUUCUCAAGGGCAGCCCUCACUCAUGUGAUGGGUCUGCUGUGUGUGCUUUCCUGGUAGCCAGGCAGGUCAGGAGAAUGUUAGAAAUGAAACCCUUCCUUCUGGUGGCCGAAAGAAGUCACAUGGCCACAUCUGUUGAUAAUUUGAAGGUGGUAGGACAAUAUAAUAUUCCCUUGUCCUAAAAGAGGGAAGCUAGAAAUAUUAGUAAGUAGCACAUAUAUCUUCUCCAUGAUCUCAACUUUGUUGGGUAGAGAGGCAUUUUAAAUAACUUUGGAAUUUACAUAUAUUCCUUAAAUAUCUAGUGAUAACUCCAUGUCUAAAUCCAGGGUACCCACUUUCUUCCUUAAAGAUGUUUGAAAGUCCUGCGUUCUCUCAGUAUUGUUACAGAGCCACAUUUCAGUUGAAUUGUUAGUGCUGAGAAAAGCAUUAUUUAUUUUAUUUCUAUGUUAGGUUUUUUUAGAGACAGGGUUUUGCUAUGUUGCCCCGGCUGAUCUUGU